RNAcentral lists this ribosomal RNA (620 nucleotides) under Zebrasoma flavescens (yellow tang). RNAcentral describes it as "partial small subunit ribosomal RNA". It matches the Rfam family "Bacterial small subunit ribosomal RNA", at positions 534 to 1442 of the family's 1533-position model. Lineage: Eukaryota; Metazoa; Chordata; Actinopteri; Acanthuriformes; Acanthuridae. The record is from RNAcentral.
CCAAGUUGUUAGACACCGGCGUAAAGAGUGGUUAGGUACUAUUACUUACUAAAGCCGAACACCUUCAAAGCUGUUAUACGCACCUGAAGAUAGGAAGUUCAACCACGAAAGUGGCUUUAUACUUACUGAACCCACGAAAGCUAAGACACAAACUGGGAUUAGAUACCCCACUAUGCCUAGCCUUAAACAUUGAUGACAUCCUACAACUGUCAUCCGCCCGGGUACUACGAGCAUCAGCUUAAAACCCAAAGGACUUGGCGGUGCUUUAGACCCACCUAGAGGAGCCUGUUCUAGAACCGAUAACCCCCGUUCAACCUCACCCUUCCUUGUUUUCCCCGCCUAUAUACCACCGUCGUCAGCUUACCCUGUGAAGGUUAAAACAGUAAGCAAAAUUGGCAUAGCCCAAAACGUCAGGUCGAGGUGUAGCGUAUGGAAGGGGAAGAAAUGGGCUACAUUCCCUAAUUCAGCGCAUACGGACGACACACUGAAAUACGUAUCCGAAGGAGGAUUUAGCAGUAAGCAGAAAAUAGAGUGUUCCGCUGAAACCGGCCCUGAAGCGCGCACACACCGCCCGUCACUCUCCCCGAGCUUACAUAUACAAGUAAAUAAAACCCUACAAU